This 845-nucleotide ribosomal RNA is filed under the name uncultured bacterium. RNAcentral describes it as "bacterial SSU rRNA". It matches the Rfam family "Bacterial small subunit ribosomal RNA", at positions 46 to 886 of the family's 1533-position model. The record is from RNAcentral.
GGAUUAGGCAUGCAGUCGAACGAGGAGUGCCGUACGUCAAGCUAGUGGCGAAAGGGUGAGUUGCAUUGAUAACUGCCUUUGAGAUGGGAAUAACUGCGUUUCGAGCAAUCGGAACUACCGAAAGGGCUGCUAAUACCCAAUAAUACUAUAGGUGCAAAAGCACUUGUGGUCAAAUGCUAGGAAUUCUGUUCCUUGUGCUUAAAGAGGGGUUAAUGUCCUAUCAGCUAGUUGGUGGGGUAAUGGCCUACCAAGGCAAAGACGGGUAGCCGGCUUGAGAGGGUGGUCGGCCACACCGGGACUGAGACACUGCCCAGACUCCUACGGGAGGCUGCAGUCGAGAAUCUUUCGCAAUGCCCGAAUAGGUGACGAAGCGACGCCGCGUGUGGGAAGAAGGCCUUCGGGUUGUAAACCACUGUCGGGAGUUAGGAAAUGCAGGUGCGUUAAUAGCGCACUUGCUUGACUAAGACUCCAGAGGAAGCCACGGCUAACUCUGUGCCAGCAGCCGCGGUAAUACAGAGGCGGCAAGCGUUGUUCGGAAUUAUUGGGCGUAAAGAGCACGUAGGCGGCCUUGCAAGUCAGUUGUGAAAGCCUUCCGCUUAACGGAAGAACGGCAUCUGAUACUACAGGGCUUGAGUACGGGAGGGGAGAGUGGACUUCUGGUGGAGCGGUGAAAUGCGUAGAUAUCAGAAGGAACGCCGGCGGCAAAAGCGACUCUCUGGUCCAACUUACGUGAGUGUGCGAAAGCUAUGGGAGCAAACGGGAUUAGAUACCGUAGUCUAGCGUAACGUGGACUAGAUGAGGGUUAUAUUCUCUGCGAGCUAACGAUUAGUGCCCUGGAGUACGCA